GUACUUGGAGUUCUUCCAGGGCGUUACCGUGACCACCCUAUGAGAUAUGGAAGGACGAAAAAUGGAUCUCUAAUGAAUACAAUCAUAUCUGUAAGCUACAGAUUUUACCAUCAAAAAUAUGAUUUAUUAGUAAAGCUGGCCACAUGGCACUGAAUUUACUGGCCUUUGUAUUAAUCAUAUAAAAUAGUGAUGGGAGUUAUAGUAGGCUGAUUCUGAGAUGGCUCCCUGUGAUCUCAUUGGAAGAGAGAUGUUUAUUAUGAUAUGACAAAAGCCUAGUGCUAAUGUGGUCUGCAGUUAUGCUGAAAACAGAAGAUAUACCUGAUAGACUUGGCUACAUGGCUAAGGAGAUUUCUGGGCAGUGGGGAAGACACUAUUUUUCUCUUGCUGCUUAUAGCAUGAUAGAAGAGCCAUAAAGUGAGGGAAGAAUAAAACAGGAGAGCAUAAGGUCAAAAAAAGGUACAUUAAGAGACAUCUGGCUUUAACUCCAAUGUGUAAAGUUCUUAAAAGUCAUUGCUUCCACUCUUACCACAAGAAGAACCUGAGUGAACUGAAAAUCAGUGACAAUUCGUGUAUCCAAAUGAGAAUGAAGUUCCUACAGCAAACAGCCACCCAGAAAUCUGCAAAGAUAGAUGAAUUAGGGGAGUCACAGCUGAGAUCUGUUUACCCGGUGCAGAAACCACUAGAAACAAACUCUUGGUAGCACUUCAGUGGUAAUGCUGAUGAUUUUCCGGAGCGCUAGUGUGGAGUUGCGUGAGAGUGAUAAACUCCUGGGGUCACACUCUUGGAAUCCCACACAGUUGUGGAUUUUACCUCCAGAAGCCCCACCAAGCUCUCACAGUAAAGAGUUGAGAAAAUGCCAUCAUGGUCAUGUGGGGCGCAUGGAAGAGAAGUUAUUGUGAAAUAUACCCAGAAUAUUCUCCAUAACAAAGACCUACCCUCCAGUGAGGGAUAAAACCUUUAGCAGAGACUUAUCCCACUUGAGGUAAGGUCACUUUUCACACUCUGGGCACCAAUAUCCUUCCUGUUCCUUGUAAGGGGAGAAGCAAAGCUAAGAAAUGCUUGUAAGGGACAUGGACCCCCUAAAAGACUGUGAUGUAAUCAUAAGAGUAUAGA
RNAcentral lists this long non-coding RNA (1113 nucleotides) under Homo sapiens (human). Its description in RNAcentral is "novel transcript". The record is from RNAcentral. Lineage: Eukaryota; Metazoa; Chordata; Mammalia; Primates; Hominidae.